Long non-coding RNA from Ornithorhynchus anatinus (platypus), 579 nucleotides. RefSeq lists it as uncharacterized. NCBI's taxonomy places the organism in Eukaryota, Metazoa, Chordata, Mammalia, Monotremata, Ornithorhynchidae. The record is from RefSeq and is a predicted model, not a curated record. The transcript has 3 exons.
GUGAGUGAGUGUGAGUGUGUGUAAAACAAGUGGAUGAAGAGCAGCAGUGACAGAGCCCAAGGUUAGGGUCUUCAAACCCCAACUACAAGUCUUUCUCGAUGAAUGGCUCCCACACACUCCUUCUUAGGGUCAGAGCCGCUGCGCUAAUCCAUGUUCCAUCACCGCACAUGCCACCACGGGCCACCCCCACCGCCGCGGAGAUGACGGGGACCACCGGGCCGGAUGGAGCUGAUUGCGGAUGCCCCCCCGAGGCCCAGCCCAGAGCGGCGGGAGCAGCCAGGUGCUUUCCCACCCCUGAUUCACGGGAACGCCGAGAAGAUGACACACGACCUCAAAAGAGUCACCGUCCAGUGCCAGCAUCAGACGCUUUCCUUCUUCCCCGGCUCUGAGCUGAGAGACGGGCCUUGGGCAGCACGGACACUCCCAAGGAGCUGGGACAGAACCGCUUCAAUUUGUGCCACUUUUUUGCUUUGAGGAGAGGACAGAGGGCUUCCCCGCUUCGGAAUCCGGACUGACGAGUCCAGUGACAGACCAGCUUCUGGUUUAGCGGUGAAAUAAAUGCUAAUAAUAAUAAUGACG